GAUGAACGCUGGCGGCGUGCCUAAUAUAUGCAAGUAGAACGCUGAAGGAAGGAGCUUGCUCUUUCCGGAUGAGUUGCGCACGGGUGAGUAACGCGUAGGUCACCUGCCUGGUAGCGGGGGAUAACUAUUGGAAACGAUAGCUACUACCGCAUAACCGUAGAUGUUGCAUUAUAUUUCUUUACAAGGUGCAAUUGCACCACUACCAGAUGGACCUGCGUUGUAUUAGCUAGGUGGUGUGGUAACGGCUCACCAAGGCGACGAUACAUAGCGGACCUGACAGGGUGAUCGGGCACACUGGGAGUGAGACGCGGCCCAGACUCCUACGGGAGGCAGCAGUAGGGAAUCUUCGGCAAUGGACGGAAGUCUGACCGAGCAACGCCGCGUGAGUGAAGAAGGGUUGCGGAUCGUAAAGCUCUGUUGUAAGAGAAGAACGAGUGUGAGAGUGGAAAGUUCACACUGUGACGGUAGCUGACCAGAAAGGGACGGCUAACUACGUG
Molecule: ribosomal RNA, 497 nt
Filed under: uncultured bacterium
Lineage: Bacteria
Description: partial 16S ribosomal RNA
Rfam family: Bacterial small subunit ribosomal RNA
Source: RNAcentral